Molecule: RNA transcript, 9759 nt
Organism: Dunckerocampus dactyliophorus (ringed pipefish)
Lineage: Eukaryota; Metazoa; Chordata; Actinopteri; Syngnathiformes; Syngnathidae
Gene: cwf19l2
Gene name: CWF19 like cell cycle control factor 2
Exons: 21
Source: RefSeq, a predicted model, not a curated record
GUCCUGACGUAAAGGCUUUACGACACUGAACACGUUUACGACACUGUCAUGGCGGCGCACGGUGUUAGUUUUGAGAGCACCACGAACAUCGCAAAUCGUAAGGAAAGCAAACGACAGGCACGACAAGAAGCGCUCGAAAAGGCCAAGCAUCAGUAUGAGAAGGAGGAGAGGAGGAAGGAGCUGAAGAGACAGAGAGGAGAAGACACUUGGAUGCUUCCUGAGGUCACAGACAGACUGAAAGAAAUAGAAGACGAGGCCUGUGUGAAAAGCAAAAAGAAGAAAGAAAAGAAAUCUAAAAAGAAGAAGGAGAAGAAGAAGAAGGCCAAGAAGGAGAAAAAGGCAACAGAUGCAGCUGAUGGCUCAAGUGACAGCUCAGAUGACUCAGCUGAGGAGUGGGUUGAAGCUCAGCCUCAGUCACAGACUCCAAAAGCCUGGAAAGUUCUGGAGAAGUCCAAGCCUCCAGAGACAUAUGCCGACUCGACUCAGAGUGUACAGAGAGAUGAAUGGAUGACCUUUGACUUUUUGGCCAUGAAAACCACAUCCACAGCAGAGAGGAGAGCUGAGAAAGACAGACUCAAAGAGGAGGAGCGGGCAAAGGCUCAAGCCAUUGAACAGGCAGGUCUGCACAAAUUAGAGCUGAACCCUUACUGGAAAGAUGGAGGAACUGGUCUGCCCCCAGAGGAGAGAGCUGGUACUGUUACAAAGAAAGAAGGUCCAGUAGUGAAUGAUGGUGGCUUGAGCUGGCUGAGGAAGAGCUACCAGAGGAUGAAGGAGCAGGCAGAGAGAGAGCAACGCAGCCUGGAUGAGGUGGUGGCAGACAGAUAUGGAUCAAUGGAGGAAUUUCAGCAGCGACUUGCAGAGGCAGAAAAGGCUGUAUAUGGGCAAAGAAGCAGAGGAGAAGGGGGCAGUAUGGCGAGAGGCAGGUGGCUGGAGGGAAAGGAGGAGCGCAGAGAGACUUGGAGGAGAAAAAUCACAGAGAGAGAUCAAGGGAGAAGAAGUGAAAGAGAGGCAUCACCCUCAGCACGGGACAGAUAUUCAGAGAGAGGAAGAUAUCGAGAAGGAGAGCGAGAUAAACCAAGACAGAAAGAUAGUGAAAGAAACUCAAAUAAGGACAGGGACCGAGACAGACAAAGGGACAGAGAGAAUCAACGGGAUGAAGAAAGAGAGAGAAGCAGAGAUCGGGAGAGGUCCAGUGUUGCAUCAUCAGCAGAACAAAAUUGGUGUCAACGUUCCUCGUCGCUUGGGUCUCUGAAAGGCCGCUUUCUUAAGCCGUCAGAUGAUGAUGACAGCAGCGCUCCAGAGCACCCUCCUCCAGCAUCUCGGUCAUCGUCUAUGAGAUUCUUGAAACCCAGCUCAGACGACGACUCUGGUCCACAGACCACAAUUUCACCGACCAUGAACAAGUGUGGUAGUCCGGGCCAUCAACCCGAUUCUUUGGAACAAGAAGCAGAGCGAGGCGCUGCAAAGCUAAUGGCCGCUCCAUGUGAUGGCAAAGCCACAAAAUCAAGUGAGAGCGACAGUCAAGAAGAAGAAGAAGAAGAAGAAGAGGUAGUUCCAAUCCUCACUGAGGAUGAGAUGAACAAACUGGGUGCCAAGUUGGUGAAGGCCGAGAUUAUGGGUAACACAGCCAUGGUUGAGAAGCUGAAAUUCCAGUUGGAGGCUGCUCGUAAAGCCAAAGAGAACCACGCUGCACGAAUGAAGCUCCACCAAACGGCUAAAUCAAACCUGAUGGCUGGCAGAUCGAGCGAGGACCGGGAGGUUGUGCUGUUCAGAACAGACCAGUCCGGUCAGGCCUGGCCAGUCAAGCCCCUGUCUGGACCACAGGAGCCCCACGGAGGACGACGGAAAAAGAAGCCGAUUGAGACUCAUGUUGAUGGGCAGCGUGUGCGCUACUUUCAGGAUGACGACAGUGUGGGUCUGAAGGAGAUGGUCAGGAGGGAGAAGAUGAGCUCCGCACAGGAUCAGAAUGCCCUCUACUCUCGAAUGGCUGCCAAGAUGAUGGGAAAGACAGAUGGCGACAACUACACCCUGGACGAUAUGUUUGUGUCAAGUGCAGCAAAGAGGGAAGGCGAAGGGAGAGAAGAGGAAAGGAUGAGGAACAGAGCUGCAGAGGAGAGCAGGAGACUGACGACCACCAUGGAGAAAUGCCGUCACUGUUUCAACAGCCAGGAGCUCCAGAAGCACCUCAUAAUAGCCAUAGGGAGCAAGGUGUACCUGAGUCUCCCUGCAGGUGUGUCCAUGACGGAGGGCCAUUGUCUCAUCUGUCCUCUCCAGCAUCACUGUGCUGCCACCAGUUUGGAUGAAGAUGUCUGGUCGGAAAUGCAGGUGUUCCGACGCAACUUGGUGCGUAUGUUCGAGUCCCAGGACUUGGACUGUGUGUUCAUGGAAGCGCACCUGAACCCACGCAGGAGACAGCACAUGGUCCUGGAGUGUAUCCCACUACCUCGGGAACUGGGGGAUAUGGCACCUAUAUAUUUUAAGAAAGCUAUCAUGGAGUGUGAUGAGGAAUGGGCCAUGAACAAGAAGGUCGUCGACCUCUCUUCAAAGGACAUCCGCAAAGCUGUUCCCCGAGGGCUGCCCUACUUUGCCGUAGACUUUGGACUCCAGGGAGGGUUUGCUCAUGUAAUUGAAAAUGAACAGAAGUUCCCACAUUACUUCGGCAAGGAAGUUGUUGGAGGUAUGAUGGACUUAGAGCCAAGGCGUUGGAGGAAGAUGAUACGUGAGAAUUUUGAUGAUCAGAGGAAAAAAGUCCUGCAGUUUGCACAGUGGUGGAAACCGUACGACUGUACCAAGAGCGGGGCUUAGCGGGACACUCAAGAAGACCAUAUUGGUAGAUGAUGUGCAUGCAAUGUUGCAUCUUUUCUCUCAUCUGAAAUCACGAUCAACUGAUGAAAUGCCAAUUUCUUAUCAACAGGACACACAAAUAAGGGCCAUGUACACAAAUGACUUUUUCACAGGAUCUCAUGGCAAUUUUGUCAGUUAAUAGCAUGAGAAUCUUGAUGACAAAAUAUUGUCCUUAUUCCAGAUAUGACUAUCUGAAGGUGUAUCGUUUUCAUGUUUUCCUCAAAAUGUUCCCACUUUUAUUAACAUUGCAAACGAGGGAUUUUGCCAGUUUCAGUGUAUUUCUUAGUGAACGCAUACAUGUUAUUGAUAGGACAACUACAGCUGCACAUUAUUAUUAAUGUCUACUGCCUGCAUCCAUCCAUCCUUUUUCUAUGCCGCUUCUCCUCAUUAAGGUCACGGGGGUAUGCUGGAGCCUAUCUCAGGGGACUUCGGGCGACAGGCGCGGUACACCCUGGACUGGUCGGCAGCCAAUCGCUGGGCACAUUCAUACCUAUGGACAAUUUGGAGUCGCCAAUUAAGCUAACAUGCAUGUUUUUGGAAUGUGGGAGGAAACCGGAGUCCCCGGAGAAAACACAUGCACGCACUGGGAGAACAUGCAAACUCCACACAGAGAUGCCCAACGGAGAUUCGAACCCAUCCCGAUCUCCUGACUGUGACUAUGUGACCAACAUGCUAACCACUAGACCACCGUACCGCCUGCAUAUGCCUGAAUUUUGUGCAUUAUUAGUGAAACUGAGGAAAAUAUUGAGGAGAGAAAAAAACAAAAAGUGAAGAGGAAUCCACACCGUCCAGUGGCAGCAGCUCAGUGUCCUCCCCCUUCUUUUGAAGAGAAACAUAUGCAGCUAAGAUGCGUUCCAGCAUCUUCCAUCUGACAGCAGGUAGGUAUAUUGUCCUUUUCUUUCCAUCACUUUGAGUGGCCUGGAAAACUUGCACUGUGUUUUAGAAAGAAUGCCAGGUUUCUUCACCCGAGUCUAUGAUCCACAUUUGAAGAACACAGCUGCAGCUCUUUGCGUUUGGUCUGUGGAAUGGGCUUUACACACGGGGGGCAACAAACGACCGCGAUUGGCUAAACUCACCGCCAACGUGUAGAAAACCCUACAUAUGGAAGGCGACGAACAACUGUGGCCAGUGUCCUGGCAUUCAGAGUGAAUUACAAGUCUCUCAUGGCUUGAUUGGCUGUCUGAUUUGGAGGGAAUUUUGGGAAUCAAAGUAGUUCAGAGGACAAAAAGCGGCUAGUGUUGAUCGAGUACUCUCUCUAGUAGCAGACGUUGCUAGGAUCGAAGAUAAACGUACAUAAAUGUCCAUGUAAACUUGCCUGAUAUGUUUACUCUGGUGCCAACAAGUUCCCAUGCCCCUGCUUUUUUGUUCCUAUUCUUGACUAAAUUCUUUUUUAGAAAUGUAAAAUAGAAAUCUGACAUGCCAAGUGUUAUUUUUUCCUCCAUGUCUACCUGCAAGAGCGUACUGAGUAGCAUCUGCUCAUUGGCCAGUCAAUGAAACUCUCGUUGAUUGGUCCUCGCCUGGGUGACAGUGAUGAAAAUGUUCAACAUUUUGGGGAACGCGUUGCAAGCCAGCGUGUGCACGAUGACAUGCAUGAGCACAAAACUUAACAUGCACAAAUUUCGCGUGUCGCUUGGCAGGACGGAGACUCUCGAUAAUUGCCAGGUCACAAAGGGUUCCAUUGAAAAUGAGUAGAGGCCAUGUCUCCUCCCGUCUGUAGAGCCCAUAAGCCUUGCUCUUGCUCUGCUUUUCUCACUCUGGGAACAACUUGUAUUGAUGACUGUGUCUUGUACGCAGGAAGUGGAUGUCCAGCUACAUGGAAUUUGGUGCGUAUGGGUCGACCAUGCAACGGUACAGCUGGAGCGCACUGUAUCGUGGCGUGGAGUGUUGCCUGGUAGACGUGCAGAAAUUCCUUUAUGAACUCUUUCCAUGGCUUCCCUUCCAGCGUGGCUGUUUUUAAACAUUCUUUCAAGCUCCUACUGGAACGUUCAAUCUCUGUUUACUCUUGGGUACUAUACGGAUGACUUUGUGUGCACAAUACCUCUGGCAUGGAGAAAUGUUUCAAACUCAUGUGACCGGAAUUGAGAGCGGUUGCCUGUUGUGCCUCUUGCUACAGAAAUGGAAUAGCAGUCCUUGCAGUGACAUGUGGAACAAAUGUUAAUUCAGGCAAGUUUCUGUGGUCAUCAAUAAGCGUUAUUGCAAAACGGCAGUCUAUUAGUGCUUUGUCAGAGGCUCAAACCACAUCUACCUCACAUAGCUACCUUUUCCCAUGAUUCUUUGGGGUACGGUGCAGGUUGUAGUAGAGUGGUGUGGGUGACUGUGGACUUGUCAUGUGAUGGAUGAUUUUAUGGCUGCCUCGACGUGGGCGUCCAUGCCUGACCACAAAUACGCCUCUCUUAGUCGUUGCUUUGUUCUUACAAUUCUUUGGUGUGUGUCAUGUGCCAAGGAAAUCACUUUUGGUUGAAGACUUUCUGGCACCCUGAGUCUAUGCGUGCCGUGUUACCACUAGGUCGUCUUGUAGUGAGAGCGCAUGUUGAAGUCUGAAAAUUGCUGUGAACUUGGCAACAGGCUCUUUGCUGAUUUCAGCCAUCUUAAAGUGAGUUCACGAGGUUUCGUCUGUACAGGACAUGAAGCACAUGCAGCUUUAAAGUCAUUGUCAGUGGUAGCAUUAAGAGCUGAAGUGUGUGCCACCUCUGUGUCAUCCUUCAAGUCGAGACAAGCAGCCUGCAGUUACAUUCUCUUGACCUGGCUUGAACCGGAUGUCGCUGUUGAAUGAGUCUUGACGAGCACCUGGCUAUAUUCUCAUACCUGCUCGUCUUUGGUCUUCUAAAGAAGUGUGGUGAGGGGACUGUGAUCAGUGCACAGUAUGGAACAUCUCCCUCACAAGUAAGUUUCAUGUACCUGUGUUAGAACAGCUCUUAGUCCAUAAUCAGAAGCACCUGUGAUGACAUCAGUAGGCAGUGCCGGAUUGAACAGUGAAAGUGCAGGGCUGAUCACUACGAGUCGUUUAACAGUCUUGAAGCUCUUCUGUGCCUCCGGUGUCCAUGUGAAUGUAUCCGCUCCGUGCAGAAGUUUUCUCUGGCUCAACAACAGCGUAAUCUGGUAUGAGUACUAUGAUGUGAGUCCUAGGAAUGACCUCAGUUUGAGUAUGUCUGUAGGCGGAGGUGCUUGAGAUACAGCUGUCACCUGUUCCUUUUAUGACACUGUGUGUCCAUUGAAAGUUAUUUUUGUCAAAAGUUGUAUUUGGAGCGAUUCAGCUCGAGCCCAGCAUCCUGUAUACGCCGAAGCACAGCUGUCAGUCUUUUCUCGUGUUCCUCGGUUGUUCCACCUAAGAUGAUGAUGUUGUCACGGUAACACUGGACACCUUUUAGACUUGGAGGAUGACUGACAUCAUCGCUGGAAACAGCUGGGCACGGAUGACUGUCCAAAUAGCACUCUCUUGAAGCGGAACAAGCCAUCGUGUGAUGAAUGUAGGUAAGCUACAGCUAUAUUUGUGUAACUGCAUCUGAUAAUAUGCGCUCUGGAGGUCUAACGUGAGAAAAAAAAACUAUACUCCCAUCAAAUCUGGUAACAUUUCCUCCGGAAAGCUAACUACAACUGACUUGUUAGGUUCAAUCAAGUCUACACAAAUCCUAGGUUCAGGGAUAUCUUUUCUUGUGGUGACUACAAUGGCUGAAAUCCACUCUGAUGACUUGACCAUGCAGCUCUAUUAGGUCUUGGUCCACAAGUCUUUGCAGCUCAUUAGACAGUGCUUCUUUAACUGAGAAAGGUAAUCUACAUCGUUUUUUUUUUGUACUGGCUUAAAAUCUGGGCGUACUUUAACUCUUUGCACAAAUCCCUUUGCACAUCCUAAUUUUUCUGUUGCUACUCUUGCUACAGAAUCGCUGUACAGGGUCACUGGUCUUUGGAAUAACUUGACUCCAAGUUAAACUUGCAUUUUAAGCAAGAAGAAUAAGUCAAUGCCUCGGACUGCUGACCCGUUUUUUUUACAACGUACAGAAGUGCAAUAGUAUUUACGUCUGCAAAUGGUGUAUAAUUCCCACCAUACUCUUUUAGCUUGAGUUCUGGUUCUAUAAAGGGAGCUUCAGGGAAUAGCUUAGUGACAAUUGACUAUGGACAUGUACUACGGACACUGCUGACCCCGUGUCUAGUAUUAGGUCAAUAUCGUGAACUUCUGACCCUGUUGUACUGAUUUUAACUGUACCCUUUAUGCUGUCAGAGCAACUAGUGUUCACAUUCAGAAUAGUCACUUCUGGGACAGCUACAAUCUCCCUCAUGUCUUUGCUUCCCUUACAGACUUUAGCAAAAUGUAUUUUAUUUUAGCAGCUAUUGCAGAGUGGUUCUUAUGCAGGACAUCCUUGGAAUGUAGCAGUGUGUUAAGUUGAGCCACAUCUGUAACAUGUCUUCCUUUAUGUCGUCUGUGAUGGCAAUUGCGGUUUAUGCCCUUUACGGCUCUUGAACCUCUCGUGUUGUUGGUGUUCAUCCUGGUAAACAAUGUGCACAUCGCUGUCUGGCCCUCCCUUACACAAAGCUUUAGCCACCGACAACGCAGUUUCAAUUUGGCGCUCUAUUGACAAAGUCUUGGUGAGAGUGAGGGGUAUUUCCAGCAGCAAAGGCUCCCUGAUGCGUGUUGAAUUAGUCUUUUGAACUACUUGAUCCUUUAUCAUCUCCUCUUCCAUAUUUCCAAACUGACACAUCGUAACUCGCGCUUUCAAUGCAGCAACAAAUUGGUCAAGAGCCUCCAGCGUUGUGUCGUACUUGUCAUCAGCGACCGUCAAUGUGUCGUAAAGACUCUGACCUUCUGCACCCAAGCGGUGGAUGAGUAGUGUGCACUUUUGUCCAUCUGGUUGUCGGACAUUGUAAGCAAAUAAUUUUCAGAAGUUCACAGCCAUGCCUUGAACGGUACUGGUGUGGCCAGUAUGUGGUAUUCUCCAGAAGCAGUCGUAAUUCAUUUUGCACCCUUUAUGUCCCUUUAUGUAAGUAAGUAGAAGUAGAGGCCACAUUCAACUUCUACUCUCAUUUCUUCUUUGUCUCCUAUAUCUACUACGUCACUUUAGUGCUUGUACAUAUUGCCACCUAGUGUCCAAACUGAAACCACACGUUACCCUGUACUGUAUCAUUUCGCGUUAUCGAGUUCCAAAACAAAGCACACUAUGUGUUGGUGACUCACUGUCCGUGCAUUUUUUAUUUUUUUUAUUGAGUGUGAUUGCUACAUAACCCGCCAAAGACAGCAAGUGCCAGCAAUUUCAUACCAAAGGCGAGAAACACUAUUGAAUUCAAGAGGGUACUCUUUACACAGGAUGAAGAUGACAUCCCCUGCCUUCCUUGCGUCUCCGUUCCUCACCGUCUUUGCCAACAAGAGUUUUCAAUAAGGGUAAAAAUUAUGUUAAAUGUUCAUUUGUCAAUUUAGUUCCUUAUUUAUAAUGAUUUUUGCUUGUUCAUAUUCUCGGGUGUCUGGAACAAAUUAAUUGGUUUACAUCAUUUCCUAUGGGGAAAAUUGUUUGGGUCUUUGUACGUUUCGGUUUUCGUCAGACCUUUUGGAACAAAAUAAAGAAAACUGUGAGACCACUGUAUUUCACCCACUGGGGACACCAACUACCGUAGUGUAAUGCAUUCUCAGAUUCUUAUAGGGGCCGCGAUCCUUCCAUGCAUAAUAUUAUUAAAAUCUAAUGUCAUCCAUGUCAGAUGUUCGUAGUGAAUGAGACUACAAUGCCCAGAGGUGCCCUUCCUCUCUAAUUCCAUGAUAGCACAGUUACUGAGCUAUUGCCCUGUCUGCACACGGCUAUAAAUGGCCGACUGCCAGCUCAAGGCAGCUAGUAGGCUUAUCUUCUGUGGAACAUUAUUUAUUCCAUUGUAGUGUUGGCUUUAUUAAAUGCCCAUGUUAUUACUGAUGGAUGGUGGCUUGAUUGCAAAGAGCAAGCGACCAGAUAAGGAAAGAGAAAAGACUGUGUGGGUGUGUGUUGGAGCGAGAAAGAGAGAGAGAGAGGAGGCGACAUAGUAUGCAAUGUGUUGAGUUCAUGCCGCUCCAGAAAGUCAAAUGAAUUAGUACCUCCAGGAAAUUACAGCGAGUUGUGUUUGUGUGUGUGUGUGUGUGUGUGUGUGUGUGUGUGUGUGUGUGUGUGUGUGUGUGUGUGUGUGUGUGUGUGUGUGUGUGUGUGUGUGUGUGUGUGUGUGUGUGUGUGUGUGUGUGUGUGUGUGUGUGUGUGUGUGUGUGUGUGUGCAUGAUGCGUCACGUCUCGUUCCAGCUCCUCUGCGCCUGCUCAUCCCUUUGGGGCUCGUAAUGAACAGACAUGCUCUGCCAGUCGAGGUCAAGGUCAUGGUUGUGAUUAGUGCCAAACAUGAGCAUCAUCCUGUUCUCUGAUGGGAGGCAAACAAGCGUGCAUGAUGACUGCCAGCUUAUCUGUUAUCUGCCCGUAGAGCCAUAUUAGCCCUUGCACACCCAUGUUGAAUACAUCAGCUGGGAUUAAGUCACCAGAAUCAUCCACAUUCCGUCAUUAUUUAUGGACAUGUUUGUUGGUAAACUGAAGGCUAUUACUUGAUGUAAUUUUGGCCAACUCGUUCUGGGUCUUAUGGGUUCGUAUGUUCCCAAAUGCCUAUCGAAUAUCCAAGCAAGAAUCAAACCACCUACAGUAGUAGAUGCAUAUUUGGAAAAACACAUCCAACUUUUCCCAUCCACCCAUCUUCUUUUGCUUAUUCAAGGUCGGGCGGCAGAGGCAGCAGCCUAAGCAGAGAAGCCCAGCUUCUUCGUCCAGCUCCUCCCGGUGGAAGCGUUCCCAGCCAGAUCGCUUCUCUGGAACGGCCGCAGCCCCGCCGACAGGCCGGCUUGUCCGGCGGGCGAGGAAAAGCCAGGAGCCGGCGUGCCCCACAAAAGGGUGACCAGAAGGAGGAGGGUGAACUUGGAUUCGCUUGGAGAAAGCC